This 68-nucleotide transfer RNA is filed under the name Serendipita vermifera MAFF 305830. It matches the Rfam family "tRNA". Rfam says of the family: Transfer RNA (tRNA) molecules are approximately 80 nucleotides in length. Their secondary structure includes four short double-helical elements and three loops (D, anti-codon, and T loops). Lineage: Eukaryota; Fungi; Basidiomycota; Agaricomycetes; Sebacinales; Serendipitaceae. The record is from Rfam by way of RNAcentral.
GACUCUGUGGCUUAACGGUGAGAGCGCACCAUUCGGUGAGAUCCGAGGUUCAAAUCCCGGCAGGUCCU